This 216-nucleotide long non-coding RNA is filed under the name Gadus morhua (Atlantic cod). RNAcentral describes it as "lncRNA (ENSGMOG00000033796.1)". The record is from RNAcentral. Lineage: Eukaryota; Metazoa; Chordata; Actinopteri; Gadiformes; Gadidae.
GACCAGUAACCUCUACUGCAACAGUGACCUCUUCUGGACCGCAACAGCGGCAGCGACCCGCCCACAAAGCUACUUCCGUUUUGGGCACUUCACACAAGGACCUCGGGGAAAAAGACAUGGGUUCUUGAAGCAGCCACAGAAGACCAUCUUGCCUUCAAGCGGUUUUCAGAAGCCAUCGAGAUGGAAACAGUGGAGGGUCCUUGGUGCGGGAGGUGA